GUCUAUGGCCAUACCACCCUGAACGUGCCCAAUCUCGUCUGAUCUCGGAAGCUAAGCAGAGUUGGGCCUGGUUAGCACUUGGAUGGGAGACCAGUGUGGCUAAACC
Molecule: ribosomal RNA, 106 nt
Filed under: Camelus ferus (Wild Bactrian camel)
Lineage: Eukaryota; Metazoa; Chordata; Mammalia; Artiodactyla; Camelidae
Source: RNAcentral